Small nucleolar RNA from Phyllostomus discolor (pale spear-nosed bat), 133 nucleotides. RefSeq annotates it as small nucleolar RNA SNORA38. The transcript has a single exon. Lineage: Eukaryota; Metazoa; Chordata; Mammalia; Chiroptera; Phyllostomidae. The record is from RefSeq and is a predicted model, not a curated record.
CCCUCUUAUAAAGAUGUGUAGGUUUCCGUGUCUUUGGACACCUAAGAACUAACUGGAGGCCAAGAAACGUGGACUUGGAGAAACCUGCGGCCAGCUUGCUCCCUGCAGGCUCAAGAACAACCAUCCCACACAG